CUGCGCUGUGACCGAAGCUUUCGAUAAAGUUUCUGUCAGCUGUCAUGAGCCCGAAAAUGUUCAGUAAAAACGAACUAUGGAGCAAUCAGGCUUGGAUAUUAGCGGUCUGCUGAAUUUUAUUGUCACCAAGCAGCGUUGCUCACAGCAGUGACUAGAGAUUUGCUGAGUCGAUACGCGAUACCGAAAUAGCACCAUCAAUAUAUAUUCUUCUGCGCAUUCUAGAAUAUCGCCUCACUUCCGUGACUUUCUGCGAGUUAGUGCUUAAAAAGCUACGAACAAGAAAAAGUUAUACCUUAUCACUUCUGAUGCAUACGGAGCUCGUAGAACGGCAUUAACAUUGCUUUUGCUGAAAAAACUGCA
This is a long non-coding RNA of Anastrepha obliqua, 360 nucleotides long. RefSeq lists it as uncharacterized. The record is from RefSeq and is a predicted model, not a curated record. Lineage: Eukaryota; Metazoa; Arthropoda; Insecta; Diptera; Tephritidae. The transcript has 3 exons.